Molecule: non-coding RNA, 236 nt
Organism: Parasteatoda tepidariorum (common house spider)
Lineage: Eukaryota; Metazoa; Arthropoda; Arachnida; Araneae; Theridiidae
Source: RefSeq, a predicted model, not a curated record
UGGAAUGGAACGAGAAGUGGAAUGUAAUCAUAUGUAAUGAGAGGAAUCUCGAAAUAGAAGUGGAUGAAAGAAAAGAGAAAGGAAGGGAAGGGAAAAGAAGAAAGUUUUCCGACUGCUGUAAAAUUUCUUUUCAGGGUUUGGAAUGGAACGAGAAGUGGAAUGGAAUCGGAUGUAAUGAGAGGAGUCUCGAAAUAGAAGUGGAUGAACGAAAAGAGAAACACCAUGAAAGGAAGGGA